GAUGAUUUGCUCCUCCACACCUAAAACAUAAUCCCUUCUUCUUUCUCUCCAUAAUCUCAUUAUAAGAUAAUGAGGAGUAUCCCCGAUCCCUUGUGUUAUUAUUUCUCCUUGUGUCAUUCUGAUUGGGCUUAUCUUUCCUAGGCCCAUUUCCACUAUCUUUGGACCCAUCACCAGAUCCAGAUUUCACAAAGACCCAAUCGGCCUUAUCUCUCUGAGACCCAUAACUUCCGGUUCGGUUUGAACCGUGACCCGGUUUAUUAGAUCUAUUUAAACCCGGUCCAUAGUCUUUCUUCGUCUCCCUUUCUACUGCCCUCGUCACCUGUAACACCUUCGAACGCGACAAAUCACCCAUCACCGAAAGACUUCGCACCUUCCCCCGUAUCUCCUCCUUCAAUCCAUGUAAAAAGUAACCCAGAAAUUGCUUAUCAGGCAAUCUAGGUAUUUGAGCAGUGAGAUACUCAAAAUC
Molecule: long non-coding RNA, 466 nt
Filed under: Trifolium pratense (red clover)
Lineage: Eukaryota; Viridiplantae; Streptophyta; Magnoliopsida; Fabales; Fabaceae
Description: long non-coding RNA (TPRA_LNC007456)
Source: RNAcentral